Molecule: long non-coding RNA, 1307 nt
Filed under: Apteryx haastii (Great spotted kiwi)
Lineage: Eukaryota; Metazoa; Chordata; Aves; Apterygiformes; Apterygidae
Description: lncRNA (ENSAHAG00000016820.1)
Source: RNAcentral
CACGGCCGCGCGGCCGCCCGCUCCAUCCUCCCUCCCUGCGCCCGGCUCAGCCCGGCCCGCCCCGCCCCGGGCGCCGCCACCGACACCGCGACACGACGAAAGCCCCGCCCCCCGCGCAGGCGCACCACCCGCUCCACCGGCGUUUCCUACUCCCGCCCCCGCUCCGCGACUAUUGGCUCCUCGCGCCGCAGCCCCCGCCGCAGUGGUGGCUGCGCACGCUAAUCACCGCCUAGCCCCGUCCCGCGAGCAGAGCCGCUUUCAGCUUUUCGAGUCGCCCAGUUCCGCCGGCCUCUCCUGUUUCCCACGGAUGGGACCUUCCGAAGGGCGCCGAAUGGGGCUCUGGAAGGGACCACUGGGAAAGCGGGGGGGGGGACCCGAGCGGAGCGCCGCGCGGCUUCCCUUGGCUCGAGUACAAUAGCGGGGCUGCGGGGCGCCUACAGAUCCCAGGCUGCGGGGCUGCGGCCGGCGCCGCGCGGCAUGCCGGGACCUGUAGUCGCGGCGGGGCGGCGGCGCCCGCUCGGGCCCCCGGCCGGGAAGGCAGGGCGCCGGGGCGGGUUUUGCGUUGUUGCCCUCUUACCGAGGGUGCCGCUGAAAGGGCCGGCGGGAGGCCUCGAGCUGCGGAAGGAGGCCGAGGCGGGACGCAGGGCUCCCGGAGGCCGAGCGGGCGGCGCCGCUGCGCUGAUGUUCAUGGAGGCUAAUGUACGGAGGACAGAAGGACACAUCAAGGAACUGGGAGAGAGAUCCAGUGCUGUGCUGAGGAAGGAGGACAGACAAUUUUCCUGUUCAAAGAUAGCUUCUUAUGUCCCCACAAGAUGCAGAAAUGUCUUUACCACUGAAGACAGUACAAUUUGGGAUAAGGACCCAGCAUAUGAAAGAACUAGCACAUGGAGUGUAAUUGCCAGGAAGCUGUUCAACAGCUCAAGGUUAGACAAAGAUAGACUACUCUUCUAUAACCACCACUGAGAAGACUUUUAUUACAAUUUAAUGUGAGGAACGCCGAUAUCAGUGGGAUAUGUGAUUCCAACUGCUGGAAAUAAGAGAAGAAAUCGGGUGCUAUUUUCUAUCUCUCUGUGUGUUUUGAAACGUUUAAAAUUGGACCUAUGAGUUCCCAAAUGGAAAUACUGCUGUCCUGGACUCCACCGUACACUUGGAAGAGCCUAUUUUGCUGCGAGUCGAAGGGCAGCUGCAGAGCUAUUGUGGACUGCGCGGAGGGAACCUCAUUUGCCUGCCUGUAACAAAGCUUCGGUGAAGGGUAUUCCCCAGGCCCCGCAGCAGCACUUCUGCAAUGGAAACGCACRCAGCAGAAG